Molecule: ribosomal RNA, 430 nt
Filed under: Sordariomycetes sp.
Lineage: Eukaryota; Fungi; Ascomycota; Sordariomycetes
Description: eukaryotic LSU rRNA
Source: RNAcentral
AGAGGAUGCUUUUGGUUAGGUGCCUUACGAGUUCCCUGGAACGGGACGCMUUAGAGGGUGAGAGCCCCGUACGUUUGGUUACCGAGCCUCUGUAAAGCUCCUUCGACGAGUCGAGUAGUUUGGGAAUGCUGCUCUAAAUGGGAGGUAAAUUUCUUCUAAAGCUAAAUACCGGCCAGAGACCGAUAGCGCACAAGUAGAGUGAUCGAAAGAUGAAAAGCACUUUGAAAAGAGGGUUAAAUAGCACGUGAAAUUGUUGAAAGGGAAGCGUUUAUGACCAGACUUUUUCCUAGCGGAUCAUCCGGCGUUCUCGCCGGUGCACUUCGCUAGGUUUAGGCCAGCAUCGGUUUUCGCAGGGGGAUAAAAGCAGUGGUAAUGUGGCUCCCUCCGGGGAGUGUUAUAGACCGCUGUAUAAUACCCUUGCGGGGACCGA